RNAcentral lists this ribosomal RNA (429 nucleotides) under Actinomycetes bacterium. Its description in RNAcentral is "Actinobacteria bacterium partial 16S ribosomal RNA". It matches the Rfam family "Bacterial small subunit ribosomal RNA", at positions 355 to 776 of the family's 1533-position model. Lineage: Bacteria; Bacillati; Actinomycetota; Actinomycetes. The record is from RNAcentral.
UAGGGAAUCUUCCGCAAUGGGCGAAAGCCUGACGGAGCAACGCCGCGUGAGUGAUGAAGGUCUUCGGAUUGUAAAACUCUGUUAUUAGGGAAGAACAUAUGUGUACGUAACUAUGCACGUCUUGAUGGUACCUAAUCAGCAACCCACGGCUUACUACGUGCCAGCAGCCGCGGUAAUACGUAGGUGGCAAGCGUGAUCCGGAAUUAUUGGGCGUAAAGCGCGCGUAGGCGGUUUUUUAAGUCUGAGGUGAAAGCCCAGGGCUCAACCGUGGAGGUUCAUUGGAAACUGGAAGACUUGAGUGCAGAAGAGGAGAGUGGAAUUCCGUGUGUAGAGGUGAAAUGCGCAGAGAUAUGGAGGAACACCAGUGGCGAAGGCGACUUUCUGGUCUGUAACUGACGCUGAGGUGCGAAAGCGUGGGGAUCAAACAGG